AAUUCUCAACCUUAUUAGCUUUUGCUGAUAAUGGCUUGGAUGUGGGGGUUUAUUUGCUGGCUUCUUCAUGAGAUCAGCUCCCCUUAAAUGCAUUAGCUGGUUGCCUUGUGCAGACUUGUCUAUUGGUGUGAUAAUUAUCUACGCCGUGGUCAGUCUGCCUGUCUUUAGCACCGCUUCUAACUGUCUGUUUACUCAGACACUUUAUGACA
Molecule: unclassified non-coding RNA, 209 nt
Filed under: Pholiota highlandensis
Lineage: Eukaryota; Fungi; Basidiomycota; Agaricomycetes; Agaricales; Strophariaceae
Description: partial internal transcribed spacer 2
Source: RNAcentral